This 90-nucleotide transfer RNA is filed under the name Brevundimonas subvibrioides. Its description in RNAcentral is "tRNA-Ser". It matches the Rfam family "tRNA". Rfam says of the family: Transfer RNA (tRNA) molecules are approximately 80 nucleotides in length. Their secondary structure includes four short double-helical elements and three loops (D, anti-codon, and T loops). The record is from RNAcentral. Lineage: Bacteria; Pseudomonadati; Pseudomonadota; Alphaproteobacteria; Caulobacterales; Caulobacteraceae.
GGAGAGGUGGCAGAGUGGUCGAAUGUACCGCACGCGAAAUGCGGCGUGACUUUACGGGUACCGUGGGUUCGAAUCCCACCCUCUCCGCCA